CUGGACGCCGCAGCUGAACAGAUGGACGCAGGGACGACGGCAGCUGUGGAGCCGCUGACGAUGUCGCAGCUGGAGAAGGCGGCGCUGGCCCUGCUCGACGUGUUCCAGCAGUACUCGGCGCGGGCGGGUGGUGGGCGCAGGCUGAGGAAGGCCGACGUCAAGGAGCUCAUCGGCAGCGAGCUCGCCCACUUCCUGGAGGAGAUCAAGGAGCAGGAGGUCGUGGACAAGGUCAUGGAGACACUGGACAGUGACGGAGACGGCGAGUGCGACUUCCAGGAGUUCGUGGCCUUCGUGGCUAUGGUCACCACCGCCUGCCACGAGUUCUUCGAGCACGAGUGAGGCGCAGCCGCGCAGGAAGCGGAGCGGGGCCGAGUCCCUGGCGCCGUGUAGCUGAUUAGGAAGCUUGACGUGCUUUGUCGAGGAGACGCCGACCCCCUUUCCCGGGGCUGACCUCGGGGCCCCCAUCCUCCGCUGACGGUCCGUGCGACGCGGUCACGAUCCUCAGGAGGGUGUGUGCUCCGCCCGUGGUCAGGGCCGCGCACCCCCCCCCCCCAACAACGCAGCUGCCGGGACCCAAAGGAUGGCUCUGGACGCACGUGGGUCCUUGUCCAAAGUACCAAGUUAGAGACGCAGCUUCGCCCCGUAUCCUGUGAGAAGCCUGCCUUUUCCUAAAAUGGGUUUGUCAUCCGUGCGAAGGAAACCCAGGGUCGGGAGGUGGCCUGACACGCCUGCCGCCAGACGGCCAGGGCAUGCUGUCCCCGGGUCCCCGCUGAGCCAUGGGAGCUCAGCAAACAGGGCUACAGCACUGGGCGGGGGCAGGGGGGGCGGGUCUCCCGGCUGUCAGGGCCGACACCGCAUUCUAACCACCUUCAGCGGGGCUCCUGUGCCCCGGGUCACACGUUGGUGCCGAGGCAGGAGCGCGGCUCCCAGCAGGGCGUCCACGCCCCUCCGCACACAGGUGUUCUGCAAACAGCCCCUCUGGCCUCCCCUCCUGUCUGGGAAGCGCAGGUGUCGUUCCUCACUUGCUUGUGCCGAGACAGGGUCUGCCCCGCAGCGGUUGGUGGAGCCCGAGUACGUGGGAAGCUCGACGUCACACAUGGGUACCCACGAAUCCAAACGUUCAAGUAUUAAGUCACUUCCGGGAAAGUUCAGAUUAACCUUUUCUGCCCCUUUCCCUGCUGCUUCUUUACGUGCACAGACCUGGAAACCCAUAAGCCAAUUGAUCGCUUGUGUUUGCAUCGAAUAAAGAGAGCAUUGUAACGG
RNAcentral lists this long non-coding RNA (1263 nucleotides) under Canis lupus familiaris (dog). Its description in RNAcentral is "S100 calcium binding protein B (ENSCAFG00000012228.5, ENSCAFG00805019946.1, ENSCAFG00845027676.1)". The record is from RNAcentral. Lineage: Eukaryota; Metazoa; Chordata; Mammalia; Carnivora; Canidae.